CCAGACUCCUACGGAGGCAGCAGUGGGGAAUCUUCCGCAAUGGACGAAAGUCUGACGGAGCAACGCCGCGUGAGUGAUGACGGCCUUCGGGUUGUAAAGCUCUGUUAAUCGGGACGAAAGGCCUUCUUGCGAAUAGUGAGAAGGAUUGACGGUACCGGAAUAGAAAGCCACGGCUAACUACGUGCCAGCAGCCGCGGUAAUACGUAGGUGGCAAGCGUUGUCCGGAAUUAUUGGGCGUAAAGCGCGCGCAGGCGGAUAGGUCAGUCUGUCUUAAAAGUUCGGGGCUUAACCCCGUGAUGGGAUGGAAACUGCCAAUCUAGAGUAUCGGAGAGGAAAGUGGAAUUCCUAGUGUAGCGGUGAAAUGCGUAGAUAUUAGGAAGAACACCAGUGGCGAAGGCGACUUUCUGGACGAAAACUGACGCUGAGGCGCGAAAGCCAGGGGAGCGAACGGGAUUAGAUACCCCGGUAGUCCUGGCCGUAAACGAUGGGUACUAGGUGUAGGAGGUAUCGACCCCUUCUGUGCCGGAGUUAACGCAAUAAGUACCCCGCCUGGGGAGUACGACCGCAAGGUUGAAACUCAAAGGAAUUGACGGGGGCCCGCACAAGAAGGGCGAAUUCC
RNAcentral lists this ribosomal RNA (619 nucleotides) under uncultured bacterium. RNAcentral describes it as "bacterial SSU rRNA". It matches the Rfam family "Bacterial small subunit ribosomal RNA", at positions 331 to 942 of the family's 1533-position model. The record is from RNAcentral.